CUGGGCGUAAGCGCGCGUAGGUGGUUUGUUAAGUUGGAUGUGAAAGCCCCGGGCUCAACCUGGGAACUGCAUCCAAAACUGGCAAGCUAGAGUAGGGCAGAGGGUGGUGGAAUUUCCUGUGUAGCGGUGAAAUGCGUAGAUAUAGGAAGGAACACCAGUGGCGAAGGCGACCACCUGGGCUCAUACUGACACUGAGGUGCGAAAGCGUGGGGAGCAAACAGGAUUAGAAACCCUNGUAGUC
RNAcentral lists this ribosomal RNA (241 nucleotides) under Pseudomonas sp. Its description in RNAcentral is "partial 16S ribosomal RNA". It matches the Rfam family "Bacterial small subunit ribosomal RNA", at positions 554 to 795 of the family's 1533-position model. Lineage: Bacteria; Pseudomonadati; Pseudomonadota; Gammaproteobacteria; Pseudomonadales; Pseudomonadaceae. The record is from RNAcentral.